RNAcentral lists this non-coding RNA (197 nucleotides) under Musca domestica (house fly). RNAcentral's name for it is "Eukaryotic large subunit ribosomal RNA". It matches the Rfam family "Eukaryotic large subunit ribosomal RNA", at positions 967 to 1170 of the family's 3401-position model. The record is from Rfam by way of RNAcentral. Lineage: Eukaryota; Metazoa; Arthropoda; Insecta; Diptera; Muscidae.
AUUCCCUCAGGAUAUCUGGUGCAUUUAAAAAUUUUGUAAAAUAAUCUUAUCUGGUAAAACGAGGCCUUAGGGUCUAAACGACCUUAACCUAUUCUCAAACUUUAAAUGGAUAAGAACCACACCUUUCUUGAUAUGAAGGGUGGCUGUGUCCAGUGGGCCACUUUUGGUAAGCAGAACUGGCGCUGUGGACUGAACCA